Molecule: ribosomal RNA, 702 nt
Filed under: Sporosarcina sp. NB90
Lineage: Bacteria; Bacillati; Bacillota; Bacilli; Caryophanales; Caryophanaceae
Description: bacterial SSU rRNA
Rfam family: Bacterial small subunit ribosomal RNA
Source: RNAcentral
AGCUUGCUCCUUGAGAUUAGCGGCGGACGGGUGAGUAACACGUGGGCAACCUGCCCUGCAGAUGGGGAUAACUCCGGGAAACCGGGGCUAAUACCGAAUAAUCAAUUCCUUCGCAUGAAGGAAUUCUGAAAGACGGUUUCGGCUGUCACUGCAGGAUGGGCCCGCGGCGCAUUAGCUAGUUGGUGGGGUAAUGGCCUACCAAGGCAACGAUGCGUAGCCGACCUGAGAGGGUGAUCGGCCACACUGGGACUGAGACACGGCCCAGACUCCUACGGGAGGCAGCAGUAGGGAAUCUUCCACAAUGGACGAAAGUCUGAUGGAGCAAUGCCGCGUGAGUGAAGAAGGUUUUCGGAUCGUAAAGCUCUGUUGCGAGGGAAGAACACGUACGGGAGUAACUGCCCGUACCUUGACGGUACCUCGUCAGAAAGCCACGGCUAACUACGUGCCAGCAGCCGCGGUAAUACGUAGGUGGCAAGCGUUGUCCGGAAUUAUUGGGCGUAAAGCGCGCGCAGGCGGUCCUUUAAGUCUGAUGUGAAAGCCCACGGCUCAACCGUGGAGGGUCAUUGGAAACUGGGGGACUUGAGUACAGAAGAGGAAAGCGGAAUUUCCACGUGUAGCGGUGAAAUGCGUAGAGAUGUGGAGGAACACCAGUGGCGAAGGCGGCUUUCUGGUCUGUAACUGACGCUGAGGCGCGAAAGCGUG